This 434-nucleotide ribosomal RNA is filed under the name uncultured Lachnospiraceae bacterium. Its description in RNAcentral is "partial 16S ribosomal RNA". It matches the Rfam family "Bacterial small subunit ribosomal RNA", at positions 341 to 792 of the family's 1533-position model. The record is from RNAcentral. Lineage: Bacteria; Bacillati; Bacillota; Clostridia; Lachnospirales; Lachnospiraceae.
ACGGAAGGCAGCAGUAGGGAAUAUUGGACAAUGGGGGAAACCCUGAUCCAGCGACGCCGCGUGAGUGAAGAAAUAUUUCGGUAUGUAAAGCUCUAUCAGCAGGGAAGAAAAUGACGGUACCUGACUAAGAAGCACCGGCUAAAUACGUGCCAGCAGCCGCGGUAAUACGUAUGGUGCAAGCGUUAUUCGGAUUUACUGGGCGUAAAGGGAGCGUAGACGGCAUGGCAAGUCUGAAGUGAAAUGCGGGGGCUCAACCCCUGAACUGCUUUGGAAACUGGCAAGCUAGAGUGUCGGAGAGGUAAGUGGAAUUCCUAGUGUAGCGGUGAAAUGCGUAGAUAUUAGGAGGAACACCAGUGGCGAAGGCGGCUUACUGGACGAUAACUGACGUUGAGGCUCGAAAGCGUGGGGAGCAAACAGGAUUAGAUACCCUGGUA